This 464-nucleotide ribosomal RNA is filed under the name uncultured bacterium. RNAcentral's name for it is "partial 16S ribosomal RNA". It matches the Rfam family "Bacterial small subunit ribosomal RNA", at positions 338 to 795 of the family's 1533-position model. The record is from RNAcentral.
CCUACGGGAGGCAGCAGUAGGGAAUCUUCCACAAUGGACGAAAGUCUGAUGGAGCAACGCCGCGUGAGUGAAGAAGGGUUUCGGCUCGUAAAGCUCUGUUGGUAGUGAAGAAAGAUAGCGGUAGUAACUGGCCUUUAUUUGACGGUAACUACUUAGAAAGUCCCGGCUAACUACGUGCCAGCAGCCGCGGUAAUACGUAGGUGGCAAGCGUUGUCCGAAUUUAUUGGGCGUAAAGCGAGGGCAGGCGGUUGAAUAGGCUGAUGUGAAACCCUUCGGCUCAACCGGGGAAGUGCAUCAGAAACUGGUGAACUUGAGUGCGGGAGAGGAGAGUGGAACUCCAGGUGUAGCGGUGAAAUGCGUAGAUAUAUGGAAGAACACCAGUGGCGAAGGCGGCUCUCUGGUCUGCAACUGACGCUGAGGCUCGAAAGCGUGGGUAGCGAACAGGAUUAGAUACCCGAGUAGUC